UACGAAGGGGGCUAGCGUUGCUCGGAAUUACUGGGCGUAAAGGGCGCGUAGGCGGCACUGUUAGUCAGGCGUGAAAUUCCUGGGCUCAACCUGGGGACUGCGCUUGAUACGGCAGAGCUUGAGGAUGGAAGAGGGUCGCGGAAUUCCCAGUGUAGAGGUGAAAUUCGUAGAUAUUGGGAAGAACACCGGUGGCGAAGGCGGCGACCCGGUCCAUUACUGACGCUGAGGCGCGACAGCGUGGGGAGCAAACAGG
RNAcentral lists this ribosomal RNA (253 nucleotides) under uncultured bacterium. Its description in RNAcentral is "partial 16S ribosomal RNA". It matches the Rfam family "Bacterial small subunit ribosomal RNA", at positions 524 to 776 of the family's 1533-position model. The record is from RNAcentral.